GGGGUGUGGGGGGCGGCGGGCCGGAGGGACGAGGGCGGGCGAGAGGCGCGCGCUGGGAUUGGCGCCGAAGACCGGACCCUCAGCCGCUAGGGGGGCCUGGAGAAGAUCACAAGGGAGCCUGCAUGUGAGAUCUCUUUGGAAACCCUGAAGCACUCUGUGAAUGAAAAGGCUUGUGAUGAUACAGUGAGAAGGCAGCCAUCGGCAAGCCAGGAAGGGGGCGCUCACCAAGAAUUGAAUCUUCUGGUACCUUGAUCUUGGACUUCCCAGCCUCCAGAACGGUGAAAAAUAAAUGUCUGUUGUUAAGCCGCC
This is a long non-coding RNA of Ailuropoda melanoleuca (giant panda), 309 nucleotides long. RefSeq lists it as uncharacterized. The transcript has 3 exons. NCBI's taxonomy places the organism in Eukaryota, Metazoa, Chordata, Mammalia, Carnivora, Ursidae. The record is from RefSeq and is a predicted model, not a curated record.